GAUGAACGCUGGCGGCGUGCUUAACACAUGCAAGUCGAACGGUGAAGCAGGAGCUUGCUCUUGUGGAUCAGUGGCGAACGGGUGAGUAACACGUGAGCAACCUGCCCCUGACUCUGGGAUAAGCGCUGGAAACGGCGUCUAAUACUGGAUAUGUGAUGUGACCGCAUGGUCUGCAUCUGGAAAGAAUUUCGGUUGGGGAUGGGCUCGCGGCCUAUCAGCUUGUUGGUGAGGUAAUGGAUCACCAGGGCGUGGACGGGUAGCCGGCCUGAGAGGGUGACCGGCCACACUGGGACUGAGAAACGGCCCAGACUCCUACGGGAGGCAGCAGUGGGGAAUAUUGCACAAUGGGCGGAAGCCUGAUGCAGCAACGCCGCGUGAGGGAUGACGGCCUUCGGGUUGUAAACCUCUUUUAGCAGGGAAGAAGCGAAAGUGACGGUACCUGCAGAAAAAGCACCGGCUAACUACGUGCCAGCCGCCGCCGUAA
Molecule: ribosomal RNA, 484 nt
Filed under: uncultured bacterium
Lineage: Bacteria
Description: partial 16S ribosomal RNA
Rfam family: Bacterial small subunit ribosomal RNA
Source: RNAcentral